Molecule: small RNA, 159 nt
Filed under: Chrysemys picta bellii (western painted turtle)
Lineage: Eukaryota; Metazoa; Chordata; Testudines; Emydidae
Description: TUC338 (ENSCPBG00000009931.1)
Source: RNAcentral
AUAACAGCCUGGAAAAAAAUUUUUUUUUACUUAUCCCAAAACAGCAUAGGUAGUGGGAAUGCAAGCUUUCUGCCCAGCGCUCUGCCAAGGUGCCUCAACCAGACCUGAAGGGACCACCUCCAGGAGAGACGAGCUCAAGCGCCUUAUGGGGGGACAACU